This 226-nucleotide ribosomal RNA is filed under the name uncultured bacterium. RNAcentral's name for it is "partial 16S ribosomal RNA". It matches the Rfam family "Bacterial small subunit ribosomal RNA", at positions 524 to 744 of the family's 1533-position model. The record is from RNAcentral.
UACGUAGGGUGCAAGCGUUAUCCGGAAUUAUUUGGGCGUAAAGAGCUCGUAGGCGGUUUUGUCGCGUCUGCUGUGAAAACUGGAGGCUCAACCUCCAGCCUGCGAGUGGGUACGGGGCAAACUAGGAGUGCGGUAGGGGAGAUUGGAAUUCCUGGUGUAGCGGUGGAAUGCGCAGAUAUCAGGAGGAACACCGAUGGCGAAGGCAGAUCUCUGGGCCGUAACUGAC